Molecule: long non-coding RNA, 382 nt
Filed under: Cyanistes caeruleus (blue tit)
Lineage: Eukaryota; Metazoa; Chordata; Aves; Passeriformes; Paridae
Description: lncRNA (ENSCCEG00000017509.1)
Source: RNAcentral
UUCAGAAUAGAAAAUAAUUGACUUUUAGGGUCACUUAGGGAAGAUAUUUUGUUUUCCCAGGUUUCUGGGUGGGAUACUUCAGCCAAUCACAUUUAUUUAAGAAGAUCUGUCUCAGACAUUUGAACUUGACCCUAUUUCCUGCCAACAACACCUGGCAAGAGAGCUAGGUCACCCCAGACUCCUGAGGUUUUGUCUUGAAGCUUUCUCCUCCACUGUGUCCUGGAUACUCAUCUUGAGAAUCCACACACUGCUCAUUGCAGUAUGGAAGCCUGAGCUGUAAGUGAAAUAUUGGUGACUAAUAGCUGUUGACCUGCAUGUUCAGAAACAAUUCAUACACAAUGGAUUAAAUAAAUAGAUAUAUUAACAUGAUGGUGUGAUUAGA